Molecule: long non-coding RNA, 291 nt
Filed under: Homo sapiens (human)
Lineage: Eukaryota; Metazoa; Chordata; Mammalia; Primates; Hominidae
Description: HSALNT0150863
Source: RNAcentral
GUUCAGCUAGAGAAUUCCUUCUCCCUGUGAAGUUUUACCCCCUGCUCCUCUGGCCACGCUCCCAGUGGAUCCCUGUGGUGCCAGCAGGAAUGGGCUGCUCCGGGGACCCAGCAAGCUCCCAGGGCCUUUCUGCUUCUUCCUUCACCCCUGUAUUUCGGUAGGCUCUCUGACUUGACUCAGCUCCAGACUAUAGCCACUGAACCUAAAAGGAGAAAGAACAUUUUUUUCCUCCCCUACACUAGUCACAACAAGGAAAACAAAAAUUAAAACCGCAAAACAUCAUUUUUCCUU